AGAGUUUGAUCCUGGCUCAGGAUGAUUGCUGGCGGCAUGCCUAAUACAUGCAAGUCGAACGAGGAUCCUUGUGGAUCCUAGUGGCGAACGGGUGAGUAACACGUAGGGAACCUGCCCGCGCACCGGGAAUACGCUCUGGAAACGGAGAACAAAUCCCGAUGUACAGGAAGGAGGCAUCUUCUUUCUGUGAAACAUCCUGUAAGGGAUGGGGCGCGGAUGGACCUGCGGUGCAUUAGUUGGUUGGCGAGGGUAAAGGCCCACCAAGACGAUGAUGCAUAGCCGGCCUGAGAGGGCGGACGGCCACAUUGGGACUGAGACACGGCCCAGACUCCUGCGGGAGGCAGCAGUAGGGAAUUUUCGUCAAUGGGCGCAAGCCUGAACGAGCGAUGCCGCGUGAGUGAAGAAGGCCUUCGGGUCGUAAAGCUCUGUUGCGGGGGAAAAAAGGCAUCUGCAGGAAAUGGUAGAUGACAGAUGGUGCCCCGCCAGAAAGUCACGGCUAACUACGUGCCAGCAGCCGCGGUAAUACGUAGGUGGCGAGCGUUAUCCGGAAUGAUUGGGCGUAAAGGGUGCGCAGGCGGUCCUGCAAGUCUGGAGUGAAA
RNAcentral lists this ribosomal RNA (599 nucleotides) under uncultured bacterium. Its description in RNAcentral is "bacterial SSU rRNA". It matches the Rfam family "Bacterial small subunit ribosomal RNA", at positions 8 to 599 of the family's 1533-position model. The record is from RNAcentral.